RNAcentral lists this ribosomal RNA (497 nucleotides) under uncultured bacterium. RNAcentral's name for it is "partial 16S ribosomal RNA". It matches the Rfam family "Bacterial small subunit ribosomal RNA", at positions 28 to 507 of the family's 1533-position model. The record is from RNAcentral.
GAUGAACGCUGGCGGCGUGCCUAAUACAUGCAAGUCGAGCGAACAGACGAGGAGCUUGCUCCUCUGACGUUAGCGGCGGACGGGUGAGUAACACGUGGAUAACCUACCUAUAAAACUGGGAUAACUUCGGGAAACCGGAGCUAAUACCGGAUAAUAUAUUGAACCGCAUGGUUCAAUAGUGAAAGACGGUUUUGCUGUCACUUAUAGAUGGAUCCGCGCCGCAUUAGCUAGUUGGUAAGGUAACGGCUUACCAAGGCAACGAUGCGUAGCCGACCUGAGAGGGUGAUCGGCCACACUGGAACUGAGACACGGUCCAGACUCCGACGGGAGGCAGCAGUAGGGAAUCGUCCGCAAUGGGCGAAAGCCUGACGGAGCAACGCCGCGUGAGUGAUGAAGGUCUUCGGAUCGUAAAACUCUGUUAUUAGGGAAGAACAAAUGUGUAAGUAACUAUGCACGUCUUGACGGUACCUAAUCAGAAAGCCACGGCUAACUACGUG